RNAcentral lists this long non-coding RNA (203 nucleotides) under Trifolium pratense (red clover). RNAcentral describes it as "long non-coding RNA (TPRA_LNC007809)". Lineage: Eukaryota; Viridiplantae; Streptophyta; Magnoliopsida; Fabales; Fabaceae. The record is from RNAcentral.
CCAAUGUUUUAAGAACCGGACCGGAGGUCGAACCGUUGUGACAACUGGUUCAAGGGUCAACCGGUCGGAUCAGUUCAACCGUUAUUGAACCGUUUAUAUUGAACCGUUCAUAUAAUUUUUUCACGUGUUUGAGUCUAUGGUUGGAAAGGAAAGAUUUUUGAUUUUUUAACCUUUCAAUUUCAAUCCAUCGUUUUUUUUAAUUA